This 504-nucleotide ribosomal RNA is filed under the name uncultured bacterium. Its description in RNAcentral is "partial 16S ribosomal RNA". It matches the Rfam family "Bacterial small subunit ribosomal RNA", at positions 29 to 523 of the family's 1533-position model. The record is from RNAcentral.
AUUGAACGCUGGCGGCAGGCCUAACACAUGCAAGUCGAACGGUAGCACAGAGAGCUUGCUCUCGGGUGACGAGUGGCGGACGGGUGAGUAACGUCUGGGAAACUGCCCGAUGGAGGGGGAUAACUACUGCACACGGUAGCUAAUACCGCAUAACGUCGCAAGACCAAAGUGGGGGACCUUCACGCGUGACACCAUCGGAUGUGCCCAGCAGGCAGUAGCUAGUCGGUGGGGUAAUGGCUCACCUAGGCGACGAUCCCUAGCUGGUCUGAGAGGCUGACCAGCCACACUGGAACUGAGGAAGGGUCCAGACUCCUGCGGGAGGCAGGAGUGGGGAAUAUUGAACAAUGGGGGAAGGCCUGAUGCAGACAUGCCGCGUGUAAGAAGAAGGCCGGCGGGUUGUAAAGGACUGGGAGCGGGGAGGAAGGAGGUGAAGUUAAUUGCUUCAGUGAUUGUCGUUACCCUCAGUAGAAGGACCGGCUAACUCCGUGCAUGCAUCCGCGGUAA